AGUGAACGCUGGCGGUAGGCCUAACACAUGCAAGUCGAACGGCAGCACAGUAAGAGCUUGCUCUUACGGGUGGCGAGUGGCGGACGGGUGAGGAAUACAUCGGAAUCUACUUUUUCGUGGGGGAUAACGUAGGGAAACUUACGCCAAUACCGCAUACGACCUACGGGUGAAAGCAGGGGAUCUUCGGACCUUGCGCGAUUGAAUGAGCCGAUGUCGGAUUAGCUAGUUGGCGGGGUAAGGGCCCACCAAGGCGACGAUCCGUAGCUGGUCUGAGAGGAUGAUCAGCCACGCUGGAACUGAGACACGGUCCAGACUCCUACGGGAGGCAGCAGUGGGGAAUAUUGGACAAUGGGCGCAAGCCUGAUCCAGCCAUACCGCGUGGGUGAAGAAGGCCUUCGGGUUGUAAAGCCCUUUUGUUGGGAAAGAAAAGCAGCAGGUUAAUACCCCGCUGUUCUGACGGUACCCAAAGAAUAAGCACCGGCUAACUUCGUG
Molecule: ribosomal RNA, 492 nt
Filed under: uncultured bacterium
Lineage: Bacteria
Description: partial 16S ribosomal RNA
Rfam family: Bacterial small subunit ribosomal RNA
Source: RNAcentral